UACGGAGGGGGCUAGCGUUGUUCGGAAUUACUGGGCGUAAAGCGUACGUAGGCGGCUUUGUAAGUUAGAGGUGAAAGCCCAGAGCUCAACUCUGGAAUUGCCUUUAAGACUGCAUCGCUUGAAUCGUGGAGAGGUUAGUGGAAUUCCGAGUGUAGAGGUGAAAUUCGUAGAUAUUCGGAAGAACACCAGUGGCGAAGGCGACUAACUGGACACGUAUUGACGCUGAGGAGCGAAAGCCAGGGGAGCAAACGGG
This 253-nucleotide ribosomal RNA is filed under the name uncultured bacterium. Its description in RNAcentral is "partial 16S ribosomal RNA". It matches the Rfam family "Bacterial small subunit ribosomal RNA", at positions 524 to 776 of the family's 1533-position model. The record is from RNAcentral.